CGCAGCAGUCGCGAAAACUCCGCAAUGUGGGAAACCACGACGGGGGAACUCCAAGUGCGUGCGCUUUGCGUACGCUGUUCCCUUGUCUAAAAAACAAGGGAAGUAAGGGGCGGGUAAGACGGGUGCCAGCCGCCGCGGUAAUACCGGCCGCCCGAGUAGUGACCACUAUUAUUGGGCCUAAAGCGUCCGUAGCCGGUUUUGUAAGUUUCUGGGUAAAUCCCACAGCUUAACUGCGGGAAUUCCAGAAAUACUGCAGAGCUAGGGGCCGGGAGACGCAGAAGGUACUCCUGGGGUAGGGGUGAAAUCCUAUAAUCCCGGGAGGACCACCAGUGGCGAAGGCGGCCGGCCAGAACGCGCCCGACGGUGAGGGACGAAAGCUGGGGGAGCGAACCGGAUUAGAUACCCGUGUAGUCC
RNAcentral lists this ribosomal RNA (414 nucleotides) under uncultured archaeon. RNAcentral describes it as "partial 16S ribosomal RNA". It matches the Rfam family "Archaeal small subunit ribosomal RNA", at positions 331 to 747 of the family's 1478-position model. The record is from RNAcentral.